Molecule: non-coding RNA, 24 nt
Filed under: Eptatretus burgeri (inshore hagfish)
Lineage: Eukaryota; Metazoa; Chordata; Myxini; Myxiniformes; Myxinidae
Also listed under: 4 other names
Source: RNAcentral
UGUAAACAUCCUUGACUGAAAGCU